GAUCCUGGCUCAGGAUGAACGCUAGCUACAGGCUUAACACAUGCAAGUCGAGGGGCAGCGAGAGGAAAGCUUGCUUCCUGUCGGCGACCGGCGCACGGGUGAGUAACGCGUAUCCAACCUUCCCCAUAGUAGAGGAUAGCCCGGCGAAAGUCGGAUUAAUACCCUAUGUUAUUCGUAGAGGACAUCUGAAAUGAAUCAAAGAUUUAUCGCUAAGGGAUGGGGAUGCGUCUGAUUAGGUUGUUGGCGGGGUAACGGCCCACCAAGCCAUCGAUCAGUAGGGGUUCUGAGAGGAAGGUCCCCCACAUUGGAACUGAGACACGGUCCAAACUCCUACGGGAGGCAGCAGUGAGGAAUAUUGGUCAAUGGACGAGAGUCUGAACCAGCCAAGUAGCGUGCAGGAUGACGGCCCUAUGGGUUGUAAACUGCUUUUAUAUAGGGAUAAAGUUCGCCACGUGUGGUGUUUUGUAGGUACUAUAUGAAUAAGGACCGGCUAAUUCCGUGCCAGCCGCCGC
Molecule: ribosomal RNA, 512 nt
Filed under: uncultured bacterium
Lineage: Bacteria
Description: bacterial SSU rRNA
Rfam family: Bacterial small subunit ribosomal RNA
Source: RNAcentral